UUGAGUAAAGGCGCUCUUAUCCAGAGGCCUAAAAAUCUCAUUUUUCACUCUGUGCACAUAUUGACAUUUGGAAAUGGGCCAGUCAAAAUUGUAAUGUGAAUACGCUUGAGUUGAUUAACCCAAGUGUAUUUCAUUUCAUAAGUCUGUAACCCAGAUUACAUUUGUCCUUUCAUAUAUAAACAUGUCGUUUUUAUAUAACAAAAAUCAUAACAAAAA
Molecule: unclassified non-coding RNA, 216 nt
Filed under: uncultured fungus
Lineage: Eukaryota; Fungi
Description: sequence contains ITS1
Source: RNAcentral